Molecule: ribosomal RNA, 512 nt
Filed under: uncultured bacterium
Lineage: Bacteria
Description: bacterial SSU rRNA
Rfam family: Bacterial small subunit ribosomal RNA
Source: RNAcentral
AGUUGAUCCUGGCUUAGGAUGAACGCUAGCGGCAGGCUUAACACAUGCAAGUCGAGGGGCAUCGGGAGUAGCAAUACUUGCCGGCGACCGGCGCAAGGGUGCGUAACGCGUGAGCAACAUGCCCGUAUCAGGGGGAUAAUCCAUGGAAACGUGGUCUAAUACCCCAUAGUAAUUAUGUAAGGCAUCUUAUAUAAUUUAAAGCUUUGGUGGAUACGGAUUGGCUCGCGUGACAUUAGCUGGAUGGUAAGGUAACGGCUUACCAUGGCUACGAUGUCUAGGGGUUCUGAGAGGAAGGUCCCCCACACUGGAACUGAGACACGGUCCAGACUCCUACGGGAGGCAGCAGUGAGGAAUAUUGGACAAUGGAUGGAAAUCUGAUCCAGCCAUGCCGCGUGCAGGAAGACGGCCCUAUGGGUUGUAAACUGCUUUUGUAUGGGAGCAAUAAGGGCUACGUGUAGUCCGAUGAGAGUACCAUACGAAUAAGCACCGGCUAACUCCGUGCCAGCCGCGGC